GGUGAAUCAAGGUGUUUCUAGAUUCAUCUCUUAAUUUGUCCAGAUCUUCACUUGAAUAACCAAUUCGGUGAAUCAAGUUUAAAGAGGAAGGGGGCUAGCUGAAUGAGCAAAUUAGGUAUUAACACAUGAGAGGUUUUUCUUCAGAAAAUUCAAAAUGGCUAUGAAGAAGAUGGAGGCUACUCUUAUGGCUUUAAGUCGAGUUUCAAAGCUGAAAGUGUAAUAUGAUGGAAAGAAAGUACCUUGGACGACUGAUUUGUGUUUUUUUUAUGAUGAUCUUCUAUUUAGACAGCAGG
RNAcentral lists this long non-coding RNA (293 nucleotides) under Helianthus annuus (common sunflower). Its description in RNAcentral is "hypothetical non coding rna". The record is from RNAcentral. Lineage: Eukaryota; Viridiplantae; Streptophyta; Magnoliopsida; Asterales; Asteraceae.